CAUAUCAAUAAGCGGAGGAAAAGAAACCAACAGGGAUUGCCUCAGUAACGGCGAGUGAAGCGGCAAGAGCUCAAAUUUGAAAGCUGGCUCCUUCGGGGUCCGCAUUGUAAUUUGCAGAGGAUGCUUCGGGAGCGGCCCCCAUCUAAGUGCCCUGGAACGGGCCGUCAUAGAGGGUGAGAAUCCCGUCUGGGAUGGGGUGCCCGCGCCCGUGUGAAGCUCCUUCGACGAGUCGAGUUGUUUGGGAAUGCAGCUCUAAAUGGGUGGUAAAUUUCAUCUAAAGCUAAAUACUGGCCGGAGACCGAUAGCGCACAAGUAGAGUGAUCGAAAGAUGAAAAGCACUUUGAAAAGAGAGUUAAACAGCACGUGAAAUUGUUGAAAGGGAAGCGCUUGCGACCAGACUCGCUCGCGGGGUUCAGCCGGCCUUCGGGCCGGUGUACUUCCCCGCGGGCGGGCCAGCGUCGGUUUGGGCGGCCGGUCAAAGGCCCUCGGAAUGUAACGCCCCCCGGGGCGUCUUAUAGCCGAGGGUGCCAUGCGGCCAGCCCGGACCGAGGAACGCGCUUCGGCUCGGACGCUGGCAUAAUGGUCGUAAGCGACC
This 595-nucleotide ribosomal RNA is filed under the name Penicillium janthinellum. Its description in RNAcentral is "eukaryotic LSU rRNA". It matches the Rfam family "Eukaryotic large subunit ribosomal RNA", at positions 39 to 649 of the family's 3401-position model. Lineage: Eukaryota; Fungi; Ascomycota; Eurotiomycetes; Eurotiales; Aspergillaceae. The record is from RNAcentral.